CUACGUAGGUGGCAAGCGUUGUCCGGAAUUAUUGGGCGUAAAGCGCGCGCAGGCGGUCCUUUAAGUCUGAUGUGAAAGCCCACGGCUCAACCGUGGAGGGUCAUUGGAAACUGGGGGACUUGAGUGCAGAAGAGGAAAGUGGAAUUCCAAGUGUAGCGGUGAAAUGCGUAGAGAUUUGGAGGAACACCAGUGGCGAAGGCGACUUUCUGGUCUGUAACUGACGCUGAGGCGCGAAAGCGUGGGGAGCAAACAGGAUUAGAUACCCUGGUAGUCCACGCCGUAAACGAUGAGUGCUAAGUGUUGGGGGGUUUCCGCCCCUCAGUGCUGCAGCUAACGCAUUAAGCACUCCGCCUGGGGAGUACGGUCGCAAGACUGAAACUCAAAUGAAUUGGCGGGG
This 397-nucleotide ribosomal RNA is filed under the name uncultured bacterium. Its description in RNAcentral is "partial 16S ribosomal RNA". It matches the Rfam family "Bacterial small subunit ribosomal RNA", at positions 523 to 918 of the family's 1533-position model. The record is from RNAcentral.